This 253-nucleotide ribosomal RNA is filed under the name uncultured bacterium. RNAcentral describes it as "partial 16S ribosomal RNA". It matches the Rfam family "Bacterial small subunit ribosomal RNA", at positions 524 to 776 of the family's 1533-position model. The record is from RNAcentral.
GACGGAGGGAGCAAGCGUUGUCCGGAUUUACUGGGCGUAAAGCGCGCGUAGGCGGCCUGCUAAGUCGGUUGUGAAAUUGCGGGGCUUAACCCCGCAACUGCAGUCGAUACUGGUAGGCUCGAGUUCGGGAGAGGGAAGCGGAAUUCCUGGUGUAGCGGUGGAAUGCGUAGAUAUCAGGAAGAACACCGGUGGCGAAGGCGGCUUCCUGGACCGAUACUGACGCUGAGGCGCGAAAGCUAGGGGAGCGAACGGG